Molecule: non-coding RNA, 29 nt
Filed under: Homo sapiens (human)
Lineage: Eukaryota; Metazoa; Chordata; Mammalia; Primates; Hominidae
Source: RNAcentral
UACUCAAGCCUUAGCAAUGGUGGAUGCCC